This is a long non-coding RNA of Oncorhynchus tshawytscha (Chinook salmon), 1851 nucleotides long. Lineage: Eukaryota; Metazoa; Chordata; Actinopteri; Salmoniformes; Salmonidae. The record is from Ensembl.
AGACAGUAGAGAGGAGACAGGAGACAGGAGACAGUAGAGAGGAGACAGGAGACAGUAGAGAGGAGACAGGAGACAGUAGAGAGGAGAGAGUAGAGAGGAGACAGGAGACAGUAGAGAGGAGACAGGAGACAGCAGAGAGGAGACAGCAGAGAGGAGACAGCAGACAGGAGACACUAGAGAGGAGACAGGAGGCAGCAGACAGGAGACAGUAGAGAGGAGACAGGAGGCAGCAGACAGGAGACAGUAGAGAGGAGACAGGAGGCAGCAGACAGGAGACAGUAGAGAGGAGACAGCAGACAGUAGAGAGGAGACAGGAGAGAGGAGACAGCAGGCGGCAGAGAGGAGACAGCAGACAGGAGACAGGAUACAGUAGAUAGGAGACAGCAGAGAGGAGAAAGGAGUCAGCAGGCAACAGAGAGGAGACAGUAGGCAGGAGAGAGGAGACAGGAAACAGCAGACAGGAGACAGCAGAGAGGAGACAGCAGGCAGCAGAGAGGAGACAUGAUACAGUAGAUAGGAGACAGCAGGCAGCAGAGAGGAGACAGGAUACAGUAGAUAGGAGACAGCAGAGAGGAGAGAGCAGAGAGGAGACAGCAGAGAGGAGACAGGAGGCCGCAGAGAGGAGGCAGGAGACAGCAGAGAGGAGACAGCAGGCAGCACAGCGGAGACAGGAGACAGCAGAGGAGACAGGAGCCAGCAGAGGAGACAGCAGGCAGCAGAGGAGACAGUAGGCAGCAGAGGAGACAGGAGACAGCAGAGAGGAGACGGGAGCCAGCAGAUGAGACAGCAGGCAGCAGAGGAGACAGCAGGCAGCACAGAGGAGACAGGAGACAGCAGAGGGGAAACAGCAGAUGAGACAGCAGGCAGCAGAGGAGACAGGAGACAGCAGAGAGGAGACAGCAGGCAGCACAGAGGAGACAGCAGAGAGGAGACAGCAGGCAGCAGAGAGGAGACAGGAGACCGCAGAGAGGAGACAGGAGACCGCAGAGAGGAGACAGCAGGCAGCACAGAGGAGACAGCAGGCAGCACAGAGGAGACAGGAGACAGCGGGCAGCAGAGAGGAGACAGGACACAGCACAGAGGAGACAGCAGGCAGCAGAGAAGAGACAGUAGAGGAGACAGGAGACCGCAGAGAGGAGACAGCAGGCAGCACAGAGGAGACAGCAGGCAGCACAGAGGAGACAGGAGACAGCGGGCAGCAGAGAGGAGACAGGACACAGCACAGAGGAGACAGGAGACAGCAGGCAGCAUAGAGGAGACAGCAGAGAGGAGACAGCAGGCAGCAGGCAGCAGAAACAGGAGACAGCAGGCAGCAGAGAGGAGACAGGACACAGCACAGAGGAGACAGGAGACAGCAGGCAGCAUAGAGGGGACAGGAGACAGCAGGCAGCAGAGAGAGGAGACAGGAGACAGCACAGAGGAGACAGGAGACAGCAGGCAGCAGAAACAGGAGACAGCAGGCAGCAGAGAGGAGACAGGACACAGCACAGAGGAGACAGGAGACAGCAGGCAGCAUAGAGGAGACAGGAGACAGCACAGAGGAGACAGGAGACAGCAGGCAGCAGAAACAGGAGACAGCAGGCAGCAGAGAGGAGACAGGACACAGCACAGAGGAGACAGGAGACAGCAGGCAGCAUAGAGGAGACAGGAGACAGCACAGAGGAGACAGGAGACAGCAGGCAGCAGAAACAGGAGACAGCAGGCAGCAGAGAGGAGACAGAAGACUGAAAUCUUCCAGCCCAGCCCUCCCAAAGGUUUCUGGGAAAACAACUAGGGAGGUCUAAAAAUGUGCCUGAUGCAUUAGCCAAGACCUAGAUCCAUUAUAAUUAAAGUAUUGCGCAGACAGAACCC